This 228-nucleotide ribosomal RNA is filed under the name uncultured bacterium. RNAcentral describes it as "partial 16S ribosomal RNA". It matches the Rfam family "Bacterial small subunit ribosomal RNA", at positions 568 to 795 of the family's 1533-position model. The record is from RNAcentral.
UGCGUAGGCGGACUAAUAAGUCAGUGGUGAAAUCUCUCGGCUCAACCGGGAAACUGCCAUUGAUACUAUUAGUCUUGAGUUCGGUUGAGGUAGGCGGAAUGUGUAAUGUAGCGGUGAAAUGCUUAGAUAUUACACAGAACACCAAUUGCGUAGGCAGCUUACUAGACCGACACUGACGCUGAGGCACGAAAGCGUGGGUAGCGAACAGGAUUAGAUACCCUGGUAGUC